GGUAGCGGAACGUUCUGCCCCACACCCCACUGGAAACACACGCAGAAUUGAGAAUGCUGACAUUAGUAACACUAUCUGAAAGACGAAUGCCCGGAGUCCAAGGGUUUGAACGCAGUGAAC
Molecule: ribosomal RNA, 120 nt
Filed under: Leontynka pallida
Lineage: Eukaryota; Viridiplantae; Chlorophyta; Chlorophyceae; Chlamydomonadales
Description: large subunit ribosomal RNA
Source: RNAcentral